RNAcentral lists this ribosomal RNA (301 nucleotides) under uncultured bacterium. RNAcentral's name for it is "partial 16S ribosomal RNA". It matches the Rfam family "Bacterial small subunit ribosomal RNA", at positions 509 to 809 of the family's 1533-position model. The record is from RNAcentral.
CAGUAGCCACGGGAAUACAGAGGGUGCGAGCGUUAAUCGGAUUUACUGGGCGUAAAGCGUGCGUAGGCGGCUUCUUAAGUCGGAUGUGAAAUCCCUGAGCUUAACUUAGGAAUUGCAUUCGAUACUGGGAAGCUAGAGUAUGGGAGAGGAUGGUAGAAUUCCAGGUGUAGCGGUGAAAUGCGUAGAGAUCUGGAGGAAUACCGAUGGCGAAGGCAGCCAUCUGGCCUAAUACUGACGCUGAGGUACGAAAGCAUGGGGAGCAAACAGGAUUAGAUACCCCGGUAGUCCCUGUCUCUUAUAA